Molecule: ribosomal RNA, 495 nt
Filed under: uncultured bacterium
Lineage: Bacteria
Description: partial 16S ribosomal RNA
Rfam family: Bacterial small subunit ribosomal RNA
Source: RNAcentral
GACGAACGCUGGCGGCGUGCCUAAUACAUGCAAGUAGAACGCUGAAGGAGGAGCUUGCUCUUCUGGAUGAGUUGCGAACGGGUGAGUAACGCGUAGGUAACCUGCCUGGUAGCGGGGGAUAACUAUUGGAAACGAUAGCUAAUACCGCAUAAGAGUAGAUGUUGCAUGACAUUUACUUAAAAGGUGCAAUUGCGUCACUACCAGAUGGACCUGCGUUGUAUUAGCUAGUUGGUGGGGUAACGGCUUACCAAGGCGACGAUACAUAGCCGACCUGAGAGGGUGAUCGGCCACACUGGGACUGAGACACGGCCCAGACUCCUACGGGAGGCAGCAGUAGGGAAUCUUCGGCAAUGGACGGAAGUCUGACCGAGCAACGCCGCGUGAGUGAAGAAGGUUUUCGGAUCGUAAAGCUCUGUUGUAAGAGAAGAACGAGUGUGAGAGUGGAAAGUUCACACUGUGACGGUAUCUUACCAGAAAGGGACGGCUAACUACGUG